Hydractinia symbiolongicarpus is the source of this 6737-nucleotide long non-coding RNA. RefSeq lists it as uncharacterized. Lineage: Eukaryota; Metazoa; Cnidaria; Hydrozoa; Anthoathecata; Hydractiniidae. The transcript has 3 exons. The record is from RefSeq and is a predicted model, not a curated record.
UAUUUGAAGUGACAUUGAAUUUUGUUAAUUCCAAGCAAAUGUCUAUUGUUGUAAAACCAUGAAAGUUAUUGGUUCGAAUCCAAUCCAUCUUUGAAGGUGGUAGUUCAAAUGGAAGAACAACAUGGUGUGCAGUAAUUAGUUUCAUACUGCAACAAACAAUAAUCCAAAUCAAUUCAAAAUUUAAAAUUCAUACAGUUAUACCCUUUUUCCGUCUCUUUGUGUGCAAAAUUGCGGUGAACAGAAUAAGCUCCAUUAAUCUACAAAAAAAUCGAAGGUUCAAUUCGAUAUCGGGGUAUUUUAAUUAUUUUUAAUUGCCAUUAAUAAUAAGAACCGCCGUACGCUUUGUUACGCAAUCUUUUGUAACCACAUCAUCAAGUUCUAUCCAUGCCAGUACCGAUAAGUAACGAUAUGGAUGAAAUUCUUAUUUAUCUUUUGCAGCUUUUUUAAAAUGGAAACAAAUCAGAAAUUUAAGCUCUUCGAAUUUUCUAUCGUGAUUAAUCAAAAGUUAAUGGUUGGACAACGAAGAUUUGAACAGUCAGAUUUAAAUAGUAAAGUUGUUGGGUUGGGUUUUGACAAGGUUUAAAAUGUCCUCGUUAUGACUUUUUUGACUUCUAAGGGCUUUGUUUUUACAACAUCCUCACUAUAAAAAACGGACAAUAUAUCGAUAAUGUAGAAUGGAUAUUAUGUCCAUAUGCACUGGAAUGAACGGGCUUCUAAAUAUUGAUAUAUUGACCAUAUGUAUAAAAAAUGGAUAUAAUGAUGAUUUUUUCAGGAGAUCCAAGAAUCCAUAUAAUGUAGAGACCUGGUGACCAUGUCAGGGCGGAGCGCAUCGCUUCUGCGUCUAUCCGCUGCACUGCAGGGCGCUCCGCGGUUUACGGACUACUGCAUCCUUGUUCCCCACCCUCUACCCUGUUUUCAGACAAGGAAAUAUAACACUAAGAUUUAUUUAUUUACGCCAUCAUCGGUAUCUACAAACUUGAGAAGCCGCCACUUACACUAGACAGCAGAGGCUGUAGCCAGGAUACCCAGCUCAACCUUCCACAACAUUUCAUAUUAUAAUUUAUGGCUGGCCUAGUUAUUUAAGCUUUCUUUUAUAGAGAAAGAAAAAAUGAUUAUAAGGGUGGUUUGAAGGGACAACGCUGGGUCUCCUGGCCAAAUUUAUGGCUAGACAGACUGAAAGCCUUUGGAGAUGGCCAGCCAGUUAGGCGUGUACAAGAGUUAUCUCACCUUCUUUUUUGCCUCCAGCGGUGAGUUAAGGGGCCAUUAAUUCAUACUGUAUAUUUUACCGUGGUCACUCACAAACAGAGUUGUUUGCCAUGGUAUAGACAACCGCACCAAACUAAAUUGCUUAAAAAGGAUAACUAUCAUAACACAGGAACUCACAGUAGAGUACUAAACACAAAGUAAAAGGCUAAGAGUAUAAAAUAUCAAUUGUUUAAUAACAAUCUAUGAAGUUUUCUAUAAUGGAGGAUCAUUUGAGACUUAAUUAAUCAGCAUCAGAUAGUUUGUUGGGAAAGGUUGCUGAAUAUUGUUUCAUUAUUUAAAAAAAUGAACGCCGAGCGAAUGUAGAUUGAAGGUGGUUGUAUAUCUAGGUAGCUUGUGAGUGAAGUGCAGAAAAAUUAUAUUUCGAGCUAAAAAUGAUUCCUUCCUGACCAAUAUAGUGAAUUUCAAAAGGAAUAAUUGAAACAAGAACGUGUUGAAAUUUCAAUAAACACAUUGAAAAUGUGUAUGUACUUUUCAUGAAACAAUCGCAUAAUGGUGCCAUGGCGAAAAUUUAUCUCACGAAAUUUAAUUUCACUUUUCGAAAUUCUUCUUCAAUUCAAUUCAAUCUUGCAAAGUUUCUAUGAUUAAAGUAGGUAAGAUAUAUUCUAUCAUCUGAAUAUAUCUUCUCUCUGAAAAAGAUCUAGCAAAAUGGGAAAUUUGCUCCGUGAAAAAUUUAAAAAUAACAACAGCUAGCGAAAAGGACAACGACACCUUAUUUCAUGGGCAGAAGCAAUGCAUAUAAGGACAAACAAGAAACAAAGAAGGCAGAUAAUAAAAGGAGAAUUGAAUUACAUAGUAUGUAAAUCUGUGGAGACUCUGAUAAAAAUUUUAAAUGUUGAAAAUUAUAUUGUAUGGUAGUAAAACUUGAGAGCCAAUACUGUUUAUGUAUAAAAUAGAAGUAGAGGGUUUAAAUUUUACAAUUUUUAAAGUUUUUAAAUUUUACAACGAAUGCUUGAUGCUGAAAUAUUUUGCUCAAUGUGUUUUUAUUUCUAAAUAUAUACAGUAUUAGGAUAUGGUUAUUAGAAUUAGGGAACAUACUAUAUUUUUAUCUCAAAAUAUACAGAUUUUUUUGGCUUGAUAUUCAAAAACAUUUUGUCUGUUGUUUUGAAUUUUGGAUAGUGAAACAAACUCCAAUACAUUUUUGUUGAUACAUGUUGUGUCAUCAUACUUUAUUUUCUACUUUUUCAUAUUUGAAGGAACACAUUCAAUUAGCAUUGGAUUUAUUGGCUACAAUGCCGCCAUCACAAAACAGUUCUCAACUAUGGGUAGACUUCAUGAAGUGUCAUCCCAAUGGAUGGAAAAUACCGGAAUUGAUGGAUUGUCGAUGAAAUUUAAAAGAGUUGUUCUGAUUGAGUUAGAGCUGUUGAAAAGAUGUGAAGAAGAAGUCGGCAUACUCAAAAAAGAAAUGAAUUAAUGUGACGUGACGGGUCUCCAUCUCCUAGACGGAUCUUCAUCGUUUAUGUUCAAAACAGUUUUCUUCUUCUCCUCCUCACUCACUCCACGCAGCAUGUUCUAUUGUUUGUAAUCAAUUUAUAUUAUCAACUUGUGUCAAGUCAUUAAAAUAUGUUUCUGAACUAUAAAGGGAAUAAAGAAAUUGAGUUUGUUCCAAAGUCUUUUAGCCCGCAUUAAUUUCAUUCUACUUCAAUCAAAACUAUUAGCUGUAUACUAUUUCAACUAUUUGUAGAAUAUAUUUUUUUAACAAGUACUUAUUUGCUUCUUAUAAUAAUACAAGAUGUAUAGUAUACGUAAAACUAGCUCACCUCAUACGUGGCACUGUAUUAUAUAUAUUCAUUUGUGGAAAUAAAUUGAAAUCAAUCACAAUGGGCUAUCAAAUAGAAAGUGAAUGUUUCAAAAUAUCAUUCCGGGCAUGCUAUGUAAUAUAUUAAAAAGGAUGGCCACAAGCUUGAUCAUAUUUUUUUUGAAGUAAUCACAUAAAAAACUUUCUAUAUUAACAAAAAGCAAUAUAUAAAGAAGUAGUAAUCUUCUUGUGAAACAUUCUGUGAUGCCGCAGAUGCUAAUGGUUUUGACUUUCGUAGUGCAUGAGCAUAUUUUUUGAAAAAAAUAAUUAUUUGAGGAAACUACAAAGAAAAAUUGAGUUACUGUCAGUACAUUUAUAUACAUUAUGAGAACCAUCAUAAAACCAUUCAAUAAACCUGAAAGUAUAAUUCAUAACUUCAGUCUAUGAAAUACACAAACACAUUUCAUCAAGAAACUACAACUACAAACUACAAUCGUUCAAUAUAUAUUAACAAUUGUUUCACAAAAAAAACGGAUUCUUCUAUAUUCAAAAGCAUAACAGAUUAAUCCUUAACGAAGACGACGUGAUACACGUUUGCCUAAAGUUCAUUCCAGUAUAUGUUAACAAGUUUUAAUGUUGUGAAACAAAAAAAGGUUUCGUUCAACCAAGAGAUAAUCGCUAUAUACAAAAGUAUUCAGGCCUCAAUUCAUCGAAACAAGACAAGUAGAGUUCGUAUAUGUGAUAAUACAUUAGACACAAUUCAUUUCCGGCCAAAAUUAAGCGAAACGAGAGAAAUCUGCAGGGCUUAACUGAUAAUGCCAUAGACAAGUGCCGACUUCGGUGUUAUGAAAGGCCCAAUUCACCAAAACAACGGAACCUGCUAUGUAUGGAUUGCUUCUAGAAACAGGACCAUUUUCCUAAAUUUUUUUUCAACGACCUAGCUCACCGAAACAAUCAAAUCUAUUAUGUACGGAUUCCUUUUAGAAACAGGAUCCUUUUUCUGAAUGUUUACCAAUGGCUCAAUUUACCGAAAUAACCGAAUCUGUGAUGUAUGAAUUGCUUCUAGAAACAGAAGCUUUUUCGUGAAUGCUUAACAAUGGGCCAAUCCACCGAAACAACUGAAUCUGUGAUGUAUGGAUUGCUUCUAGAAACAGGAGCUCUUUCCUGAAUUAUUAUCAAAGGUCUAAUUUGCGGAAAUAACUGUAUCUCUUACUUAUCAGAGGCUCGAUUUACCAACAUAACCGAAUGUGUUAUGUAUGGAUUGCUUUUAAAAUCGGGAAUUCUCACCUGAAUAUUUUGUGAAGGCAAUUUCGCAAAUGUUAGCCAACUUUAUGUGUAUGGAUUGCUCCUGACUUGCCAAUUCUUUCCUAACUUUUUUGUUAAAGCCUUACAGAUGUAAAUUUCUUCCGCCCUUUAAGGAAAUAAAAAUCUGAUAUUAAAGUACCACAUCAAAUGCGGUUGAUUAACAAUUAAUAUUAAAAAUCAAAUAGAAGAAUAAUUUUAACAAAAGAGCUUUGGCUCUUUUGGGAUAAGGCAGUUUAGAAGGGGAUUAAACACAAGACGACGAUAAACAUUUGCGUAGAUAUUUACGCUCCAUCUUAUAAUACAACCACUAUGUAUAUAACACCAAAUGUCAAUAAGAAAACAAAUUAAUCAAGUUCAGAGAGCACAGAAAACGAAUACAAAAAGUUGUAUCCACAAGGUUCCAGCCCUGCUCAGUUUUAUGGUACCGCCAAGGUUCACAAGAUACCACCUAAUUCUACAGUAGCUGACGAUUUACCAUCACGACCCAUCAUAUCGAAUAUCGGAUCUGCUACUUACAACACAUCAAACUACCUCGAGAAAUCUUUAACACCGCUGACAAAGUCAACAUAUACUACUGAAACUCUUUAGAUUUUAUAUUAUCAUUGAAAGGAGAAAAGAUACCUCAUAAUUACAAACUAGUACCUUUUGACGUCACUAGUUUAUUCACCAACGUUCCGUUGGAACAAAAGAUAGACAUAAUAUUGCAAAAGAUAUAUGCUGAAAAAGUUAUAGAAACAAAAAUUAAGCGAGAGGAAAUGAAACAUCUAUUAAUCUCAUGUACAAAACAUGUACAUUUCAGUUUUAACAACCAACUUAUAUUCAGGUAGAUGGUGUAGCAAUGGGCUCGCCUCUAGGACCAGUCCUAGCAUAUCUUCGUGGUUGAGUUGGAGAAUGAAAUAGUCCCAAAAUUAGAAAAUUCAGUAAAAUUUUGGAAGAAAUAUGUAGAUGACACUGUUAAUGAAAACCAGAUAAACAAUGUGCUGAUCACACUUAAUAGUUACCAUUCGAAUAUCCAGUGAACAUAUGAAGUUAAAAACGAUAACUACAUAGCCUUUCUUGAUGUAAAAACACAUCUAUUUAUCGAAAAGACACGAACACUGACAUAUAAAUGCACUAGAAUUCAUCUGCAUCACGCCCAUGGAAAGUUGAAACGGUUAAAUGGUUGGUGUUGAGAGCGUUUAAUAUAUGCUCUUAAUCACAAGAUCUGAAAUACGAACUAAAUCACUUAAAAAAUGUGUUUAUAAAAAACUUAUCCCGAAGCAGUUGUAUCUAAUGUAAUUAAUAACACACAGCGAAAUUUCAACAUUCAAAAUGCCGACACUGUUUUUGAAGAAGACACCAAUGAAUCUCCAAUAACACCUUUCAUGGUUUUUAUUCUGUCAAGUCUGGCUACGGGAAAAUAAAUAAGGUUAAUUUCGUUUAAGAAAAGCGAAUUAGAAAAUAAUGGUAACUGCUUAGUAAAGCGUCUAACACUUUUAAACAGUUUCUAUCAGCCAAUGUCAAGCCACGCAUUGCUGAUCAAUGUAAAAUGUUAUGUUUGCUAUUUUCUGUGAAAUAGAACCAAGGAUGAACACAACAUGGUGUUGUGUACAAAUAUACUUGUCCGGUGGAAUAGUGCGAUGCUAUAUACAUUGGUGAAACAGCCAGGAGGCUUAAUGAAAGAUAGACCACCAAAAACGCCAUAAGAACUCUCACAUCCUAAAACAUUCAGUCAUUGAGAAUUACCAACUUGGUGAACAAAAGAACUUCAGUAUUUUGAUAGAUAAUGUUCACCACUUUAAAAAGAAAAAAAUAGCUGAGGCCAUGUAUAUUUGUGAUAAGAGUCCCACGCUUAAUGUACAGGGAUUAUCUGUUCCAUUAAAAUUGUUUUAAGAUAAAUAUUAUUUAUAGUCAACAAGGGGAGGAGUGCAUUUGUGCACCGCGCGGUGGACGUUACCCUCACCAACGGUAUAUAGUUUAUAUACCUUUGGGUAUGCCGUUAUGUGUUAUAUGUUUCGUUAAGUAUUGUUUUAUACGUCCUCUGUGUAUUGCGUAGUUGUUGAAAAUUAUAUUUAAAAAACUUUUGAGAUAAUUGUAACAAUUUACGUUGAUAAUUGUCUUGUAGUAACAAGACGAAAUAUCCGUUAAAAUAAAAUAAAAAAUGUCAUCAUCAAUCAAACUUCUCGUAUUUAUUUUCAUUGUGAAGUUAUAUACCGAAUUAAUAUAUAAGACUAAUUAAGCAAGAACAUAUUUGUUAAUAUCGAUCUGCUUGUGCUAAGGCACUUGCCAUUGUAUAACUGGAUGUCAGUUGAGCUUGCUGCAAUUUUUGGUUAUAUAAAUUGGCAAAACAGUAACAGCUAGUGGAUUUCAAUAAUCAGUUUCUUCACUAAAAAACAAUUAAUCUUUAAGAAUCUUGUUAUUAGAUCACAGAAAUGUUACACGAAGAAACUUU